UGGGUUGACUAUAUGCAGAUCGGA
This 24-nucleotide non-coding RNA is filed under the name Arabidopsis thaliana (thale cress). The record is from RNAcentral. Lineage: Eukaryota; Viridiplantae; Streptophyta; Magnoliopsida; Brassicales; Brassicaceae.